Molecule: ribosomal RNA, 428 nt
Filed under: uncultured bacterium
Lineage: Bacteria
Description: partial 16S ribosomal RNA
Rfam family: Bacterial small subunit ribosomal RNA
Source: RNAcentral
GUUAGGAAUAUUGGACAAUGGGCGCAAGCCUGAUCCAGCCAUGCCGCGUGAGUGAUGAAGGCCUUCGGGUCGUAAAGCUCUGUUGCAGGGGAAGAACACAAUGACGGUACCCUGCUAGAAAGGAUCGGCUAACUUCGUGCCAGCAGCCGCGGUAAGACGAGGGAUCCUAGCGUUGUUCGGAAUUAUUGGGCGUAAAGCGGGUGCAGGUGGCUUGGUAAGUCAGAUGUGAAAGCCUGGGGCUUAACCCCAGAAGUGCAUUUGAUACUGCUGAGCUUGAGUGCUGGAGAGGCUAUUAGAAUUCCUGGUGUAGUGGUGAAAUACGUAGAUAUCAGGAGGAAUACCGGAGGCGAAGGCGGAUAGCUGGCCAGACACUGACACUCAGACCCGAAAGCGUGGGGAUCAAACAGGAUUAGAUACCCUAGUAGUCC